RNAcentral lists this non-coding RNA (21 nucleotides) under Caenorhabditis elegans. Lineage: Eukaryota; Metazoa; Nematoda; Chromadorea; Rhabditida; Rhabditidae. The record is from RNAcentral.
UGAUCUCAUCUCUCUCUUUUC